UACGUAGGGUGCGAGCGUUGUUCGGAUUCAUUGGGCGUAAAGGGUGCGUAGGCGGCGCGGUAAGUCGGGUGUGAAAUCUCGGAGCUUAACUCCGAAACUGCAUUCGAUACUGCCGUGCUUGAGGACUGGAGAGGAGACUGGAAUUUACGGUGUAGCGGUGAAAUGCGUAGAUAUCGUAAGGAAGACCAGUGGCGAAGGCGGGUCUCUGGACAGUUCCUGACGCUGAGGCACGAAGGCCAGGGGAGCAAACGGG
RNAcentral lists this ribosomal RNA (253 nucleotides) under uncultured bacterium. RNAcentral describes it as "partial 16S ribosomal RNA". It matches the Rfam family "Bacterial small subunit ribosomal RNA", at positions 524 to 776 of the family's 1533-position model. The record is from RNAcentral.